GGGCUGCAGUAUUUUGACUGUACAAAGGUAGCAUAAUCAUUAGUCUCUUAAUUGGUGACUUGUAUGAAAGAUUGGAUGAGAUAUAUACUGUCUCUAAUUAAUUUGUAGAAUUUAAUUUUUUAGUAAAAAAGCUAAAAUAAAUUUAAAAGACGAGAAGACCCUAUAGAGUUUAAUAAUUUAUUUAAUUAUUAUUAAUAUAUAAUUUUUAAAAUUAAAAUUAAAUGAAAUAUUUUGUUGGGGUGAUAGAAAAAUUAAAUUAACUUUUUUAUAUUAUUUACAUUGAUUUAUGAAUAAGUGAUCCAUUAAUAAUGAUUAAAAGAAAAAAUUACCUUAGGGAUAACAGCGUAAUUUUUUUUUUUAGUUCAAAUAGUAAAAAAAGUUUGCGACCUCGAUGUUGGAUUAA
This 403-nucleotide ribosomal RNA is filed under the name Papilio ascalaphus ascalaphus. Its description in RNAcentral is "partial 16S ribosomal RNA". The record is from RNAcentral. Lineage: Eukaryota; Metazoa; Arthropoda; Insecta; Lepidoptera; Papilionidae.